This 257-nucleotide long non-coding RNA is filed under the name Mytilus galloprovincialis (Mediterranean mussel). The record is from RNAcentral. Lineage: Eukaryota; Metazoa; Mollusca; Bivalvia; Mytilida; Mytilidae.
UAAUUGGAUGUGUGCUUUACUUUCAGUUACAAUCUGUGAACGGGGAAAAAAUAACACAUUUUGAUGAAAAUAGGCACUUCUGUAGGAGCCAAUUAUGCAAAUUAGGUCACCCUGUACAAAAAACCACCCAAUAGAUUUUUUUUUAAAUACAAGCAUUUUGAAGGUCUUUACCUAAGCAUUGUUUCAGCAUAAUAUGAACAUACAUUUCUUACCUCGUUUAUUGUCUAUAACUUAUACUGAUAAUUGAAGUAAAGUGG